AGGCCUGAAGAGGGAAGCAGGGCCUGAUCUGUAGCCUCCAUGGCAGCUGUUGAUCAGGACUUGCCUCUCUCUUUCUUUCCA
Molecule: non-coding RNA, 81 nt
Organism: Myotis brandtii (Brandt's bat)
Lineage: Eukaryota; Metazoa; Chordata; Mammalia; Chiroptera; Vespertilionidae
Source: Rfam